RNAcentral lists this long non-coding RNA (279 nucleotides) under Lathyrus oleraceus (garden pea). Its description in RNAcentral is "Pisum sativum (pea) long non-coding RNA (PSAT_LNC029964)". Lineage: Eukaryota; Viridiplantae; Streptophyta; Magnoliopsida; Fabales; Fabaceae. The record is from RNAcentral.
AGGGUGUAACGUUCGUCUCCAACGGCUCUGUAACGUUCACCUAGUCAGAAAGGUGUUACGCUCGUCACAGGGGCGUGACGGGCGUAACAAGUACUUGGCGUGCCGUCCGUCAAAGAUUGUGUGACGCUCGUCACACAGUCUUUUUGGCGUGGCUUCAGCUAGCGUUCUUCAGAAUAACUUUGGUAAUUUAUUUUUUUAUUAUUUAUUUUGUUUUGCUUCAGAUUAUUUUAUUUUGCUAUUUAAUUUUCCUGCAUGCUAUAAUAGUGCAUAAAUGUAUUA